AGCAGUCGCCGCGGGAAUACGUAGGUGACAAGCGUUGUCCGGAAUUAUUGGGCGUAAAGCGCGCGCAGGCGGAUCAGUUAGUCUGUCUUAAAAGUUCGGGGCUUAACCCCGUGAUGGGAUGGAAACUGCUGAUCUAGAGUAUCGGAGAGGUAAGUGGAAUUCCUAGUGUAGCGGUGAAAUGCGUAGAUAUUAGGAAGAACACCAGUGGCGAAGGCGACUUUCUGGACGAAAACUGACGCUGAGGCGCGAAAGCCAGGGGAGCGAACGGGAUUAGAUACCCGGGUAGUCCCUGUCUCUUAUACC
This 303-nucleotide ribosomal RNA is filed under the name uncultured bacterium. Its description in RNAcentral is "partial 16S ribosomal RNA". It matches the Rfam family "Bacterial small subunit ribosomal RNA", at positions 507 to 808 of the family's 1533-position model. The record is from RNAcentral.